GAAAAUGAAUUAGGACAUUGAAUACUACAAGAAAAGGAAAAAUAUACAAACAAGCAAGAAAAGAUCACCAAUACUACAAAAAAAAUUAAUUACUCAUUGAAUGAUCAAGUCCAUACAUCAAACUGAACUUCAAAGAAUCCUAAAAAAAAAAUUACAUUGUGUGGAGGAUUACCUUAGUGUGAGAAAUAUUUACACAAGUUAAGGUUACUUAAGAAUCUACAAUGACACAAGUUAGGGGUUAACUUCCUAUAAGAAGGUAAUUUUGUACAAACAUGCUUUUAAGAGCGCGACAAAUAAUAACAAUGGUGAAUUCUUCAAUGAUAUUGUGGCACAUGAACUGAUCAACUCAAAGAGGGACGUGCAAGUUUGAGAAGAAAACGACUAUUGUUAUAGUGAAAUCAACACAAAAAGGACAUUCUUCAACAACUAUAUAUAUAUAUAUAUAUAUAUAUAUAUAUAUAUAUAUAUAUAUAUACCGUCACACAUGAGUCUGACCAGCUCAAAAGACAUCCUUCAUCAACAACUAUACAUAUCAUUGGCCUGAUCAAUAACCAUAUUAAACCAUUGCACACAUGACCUUGAUCAACUCAUGAUCAAGCAUGACCAAGUCCAAAACGAGCACGUCAAUGCAAAGGACAUCCAUGAACCGCGAUGCCUUUAGCAGUAGGACAACUAGCCAAACCACAAUAUUCUCCUCCAGUACCCCACCAAUUAAGUUUAACUUUAUCAAGGAAGAAAUAUAUAAAAACUCCCAUAAAUGCUAAUCCAGCAUCCAAUGCAGCUGAGAGAACAUAAUUAUACUUUUGCCACCACUUCUUUUGGUAUUUGAAAAUGAAGUAAUUGAAUAUAAUAGCAAAGACAAUCCAACUAUUGAAGUUCAAAGGUGUUGCUGGAGGCAUACUUGCAGUUGCACCUAAAAGUACUGGAAUGUUAAUCAAUUUAAUCCAACUUUGUUUUGGGAAUGCUUUAUGUAACAACCAUACUAUAAUUGGUGCACAUAAACCACCAAGAAAGAACCAAUUUAGUGCACCGUAGUUUCCAAGAUCACCAAACAUUCUUUUAGGUCCUACUAAACCCCAGAUAACCGAUGCAUCGAAAAAGACGCGACUUCCUGGACAUGUCCAUGGACUAUUUACUGGGAGUAAUGCAUCUUGGCAUAUAUUAUCAAUGUUUGUAAGUAGCCACCAUGCUACAGUCAUGUUUAUUGUACCAGCAAUCAAUGUUCCAAGCAA
This 1232-nucleotide long non-coding RNA is filed under the name Solanum lycopersicum (tomato). RNAcentral's name for it is "long non-coding RNA (SLYC_LNC001075)". The record is from RNAcentral. Lineage: Eukaryota; Viridiplantae; Streptophyta; Magnoliopsida; Solanales; Solanaceae.